GACGAACGCUGGCGGCGUGCUUAAUACAUGCAAGUCGAACGGAAAGGCCCUGCUCUUGUGGGGUGCUCGUGUGGCGAACGGGUGAGUAACACGCGUGUAACCUGCCCCUGUCUUUGUGAUAACACUAGGAAACUCGGGCGCUUAUCGCAUAGGAUCUCCUGCUCCAUGUUGUGGGUUGGAGAGUGUCGGCGGUAGUGGAUGGACUCGCGGCUUAUCCGCUUGUUGGUGGGGUAGUGGAUUACGAAGGCUUCGACGGGUAGCCGGCCUGAGAGGGUGACCGGCCACAAUGGGACUAAGGUAGGGACCAGACGGCUACGGGAGGCAGCGGUGGGAAGUAUUGCGCAAUAGGCGGAAGCCUGAGACAGCGGCGCCGCGUGCGGAAUGACGGCCUUCGGGUUGUAAACCGCUUUCGACUGUGACGAAGAGUGAGUGACGGUAAUGAGUAAAAAAGCACCGGCUAACUACGUG
This 468-nucleotide ribosomal RNA is filed under the name uncultured bacterium. RNAcentral describes it as "partial 16S ribosomal RNA". It matches the Rfam family "Bacterial small subunit ribosomal RNA", at positions 28 to 507 of the family's 1533-position model. The record is from RNAcentral.